RNAcentral lists this transfer RNA (74 nucleotides) under Otolemur garnettii (small-eared galago). It matches the Rfam family "tRNA". From Rfam's summary of the family: Transfer RNA (tRNA) molecules are approximately 80 nucleotides in length. Their secondary structure includes four short double-helical elements and three loops (D, anti-codon, and T loops). The record is from Rfam by way of RNAcentral. Lineage: Eukaryota; Metazoa; Chordata; Mammalia; Primates; Galagidae.
GCACCUGUGGCUCAAAGGAAUAGGGUGCUGGCCUCAUAUGCCAGAGGUGGCGGGUUCAAACCCAGCCUUGGCCA